Molecule: ribosomal RNA, 253 nt
Filed under: uncultured prokaryote
Description: partial 16S ribosomal RNA
Rfam family: Bacterial small subunit ribosomal RNA
Source: RNAcentral
UACGGAGGGUGCGAGCGUUGUUCGGAAUUACUGGGCGUAAAGCGCGUGUAGGCGGCUUUCUAAGUCUGGUGUGAAAGCCCGGGGCUCAACCCCGGAAGUGCAUUGGAUACUGGGAAGCUGGAGUACCGGAGAGGAGGGUGGAAUUCCUGGUGUAGCGGUGAAAUGCGUAGAUAUCAGGAGGAACACCGGUGGCGAAGGCGGCCCUCUGGACGGAUACUGACGCUGAGACGCGAAAGCGUGGGGAGCAAACAGG